GGGCGGCACCUUGACGGUACCUAACCAGAUGACCACGGCUAACUACGUGCCAGCAGCCGCGGUAAUACGUAGGUGGCWAGCGUUGUCYGGAAUUAUUGGGCGUAAAGGGCUCGCAGGCGGUUUCUUAAGUCUGAUGUGAAAGCCCCCGGCUCAACCGGGGAGGGUCAUUGGAAACUGGGGAACUUGAGUGCAGAAGAGGAGAGUGGAAUUCCACGUGUAGCGGUGAAAUGCGUAGAGAUGUGGAGGAACACCAGUGGCGAAGGCGACUCUCUGGUCUGUAACUGACGCUGAGGAGCGAAAGCGUGGGGAGCGAACAGGAUUAGAUACCCUGGUAGUCCACGCCGUAAACGAUGAGUGCUAAGUGUUAGGGGGUUUCCGCCCCUUAGUGCUGCAGCUAACGCAUUAAGCACUCCGCCUGGGGAGUACGGUCGCAAGACUGAAACUCAAAGGAAUUGACGGGGGCCCGCACAAGCGGUGGAGCAUGUGGUUUAAUUCGAAGCAACGCGAAGAACCUUACCAGGUCUUGACAUCCUCUGACAAUCCUAGAGAUAGGACGUCCCCUUCGGGGGCAGAGUGACAGGUGGUGCAUGGUUGUCGUCAGCUCGUGUCGUGAGAUGUUGGGUUAAGUCCCGCAACGAGCGCAACCCUUGAUCUUAGUUGCCAGCAUUCAGUUGGGCACUCUAAGGUGACUGCCGGUGACAAACCGGAGGAAGGUGGGGAUGACGUCAAAUCAUCAUGCCCCUUAUGACCUGGGCUACACACGUGCUACAAUGGACAGAACAAAGGGCAGCGAAACCGCGAGGUUAAGCCAAUCCCACAAAUCUGUUCUCAGUUCGGAUCGCAGCCGA
RNAcentral lists this ribosomal RNA (848 nucleotides) under Bacillus subtilis. Its description in RNAcentral is "bacterial SSU rRNA". It matches the Rfam family "Bacterial small subunit ribosomal RNA", at positions 459 to 1307 of the family's 1533-position model. The record is from RNAcentral. Lineage: Bacteria; Bacillati; Bacillota; Bacilli; Caryophanales; Bacillaceae.